CAACCAGGUAGAGGCGCGUUUCUGGAAAUGCUAUUUUCAGUCCCGCUUGGAAGACAGUUUACUUGAUGAGCAUUUCCCCUUGGCAGAUAGAUACAGUCACGUCUAAGAGGAUUUGGGAAGGGGAAGUGUAAGGCAAGAAGGGCGUUACAUCUGAGGGUUCGUUCGCCAUCGCCGAAGUGUAAAUAGUUAAAAGUUGAAGUGGAAAAGUUUCCUGCUGACGGAUGUACCGGUGCACUGUUGCUGGGGAUGGAAUGCCGGUGCAACUUCUUUCUUCGUUUUUGCCACGGCUAGUCAACACUGGAAGAAAGUGGAAAGGACUUGAUACCUAUAUUCUAUCUAUUGAUUUUAUGCAAUGAGGAGCACUUGGUUCUUUUCAAUUAAUGUUACUGUUUCAAAGUAUCGUUUCAGUUCAUCCAUCGAAUGGAAUCGGAGGCUAUGAUGAAAUAGUAUACUGUCUUCAAUACUUAGUGGUUUAUGAUAGUUUGGAUUUGGAGUAAGUUUCAUUCUCGUCGGCAGACAGCACUUGCACUUACUGGGUUCGGUACUCGAAGUGUAACCAAUUUGAAAGGACAUAAAUUCGGUUUGGAAUAUUAUUUUUGUUUAAUUCAAGGUACAAAAU
Long non-coding RNA from Topomyia yanbarensis, 619 nucleotides. RefSeq lists it as uncharacterized. NCBI's taxonomy places the organism in Eukaryota, Metazoa, Arthropoda, Insecta, Diptera, Culicidae. The record is from RefSeq and is a predicted model, not a curated record. The transcript has 3 exons.